Molecule: ribosomal RNA, 253 nt
Filed under: uncultured bacterium
Lineage: Bacteria
Description: partial 16S ribosomal RNA
Rfam family: Bacterial small subunit ribosomal RNA
Source: RNAcentral
UACAGAGGCCUCAAGCGUUGUUCGGAUUCAUUGGGCGUAAAGGGUGCGUAGGCGGCGCGGUAAGUCGGGUGUGAAAUUUCGAGGCUUAACUUCGAAACUGCAUUCGAUACUGCCGUGCUCGAGGACUGGAGAGGAGACUGGAAUUUACGGUGUAGCGGUGAAAUGCGUAGAUAUCGUAAGGAAGACCAGUGGCGAAGGCGGGUCUCUGGACAGUUCCUGACGCUGAGGCACGAAGGCCAGGGGAGCAAACGGG